RNAcentral lists this transfer RNA (63 nucleotides) under Acizzia uncatoides. RNAcentral's name for it is "tRNA-Ile". Lineage: Eukaryota; Metazoa; Arthropoda; Insecta; Hemiptera; Psyllidae. The record is from RNAcentral.
GAAAGAUGCCUGAAAAAAAGGAUUAUUUUGAUAUAAUAAAUUAUGUGUGAUUACUCUUUCUAA